RNAcentral lists this ribosomal RNA (340 nucleotides) under uncultured Bartonella sp. RNAcentral's name for it is "bacterial SSU rRNA". It matches the Rfam family "Bacterial small subunit ribosomal RNA", at positions 1130 to 1469 of the family's 1533-position model. The record is from RNAcentral. Lineage: Bacteria; Pseudomonadati; Pseudomonadota; Alphaproteobacteria; Hyphomicrobiales; Bartonellaceae.
GUUGGGCACUCUAGGGGGACUGCCGGUGAUAAGCCGAGAGGAAGGUGGGGAUGACGUCAAGUCCUCAUGGCCCUUACGGGCUGGGCUACACACGUGCUACAAUGGUGGUGACAAUGGGCAGCGAAACCGCAAGGUGGAGCUAAUCUCCAAAAGCCAUCUCAGUUCGGAUUGCACUCUGCAACUCGAGUGCAUGAAGUCGGAAUCGCUAGUAAUCGUGGAUCAGCAUGCCACGGUGAAUACGUUCCCGGGCCUUGUACACACCGCCCGUCACACCAUGGGAGUUGGUUUUACCCGAAGGUGCUGUGCUAACCGCAAGGAGGCAGGCAACCACGGUAGGGUC